GACGCCAUAAACGCCAUGAGUAGUGUAGUAGUUGCAUUUUCUUGUGUACAGAUGGCGCCGGUAGUCAUAUCGAAAUGCAUCUAAGAAAUCGAGGAUUAAAACACUUCUCUCGCACUUUUAACGAUAUAAAUUCCAGAUCUAAGCUGGCAUACGCCAAAAAAAAAAGUGUGUAAUGGCACAAAAAAUUAAUAUAUGUACCAAUUUGGCAGCAGUAAUUACAAUUUGAGCUGUCAGUGAACAAUACUCAUCCUCCACUAACCCCACAGUACAACCCGCAUGGCUAGCUGAUGGAAAUAGUCCCCACUUGGCAAUCACAUGGCGCUUUAGACAGACACUCUAAUCUAAACGGACCAUCUACGAGGAGAACAUCACCCGCCGAACCAGCACCGCAAACUGACAUGCAAAUUAAAAAGCAUAUGCUUUGACUCCUAA
RNAcentral lists this small RNA (432 nucleotides) under Drosophila pseudoobscura pseudoobscura. RNAcentral describes it as "GA31509". Lineage: Eukaryota; Metazoa; Arthropoda; Insecta; Diptera; Drosophilidae. The record is from RNAcentral.